This is a small nuclear RNA of Manis pentadactyla (Chinese pangolin), 191 nucleotides long. RefSeq annotates it as U2 spliceosomal RNA. NCBI's taxonomy places the organism in Eukaryota, Metazoa, Chordata, Mammalia, Pholidota, Manidae. The record is from RefSeq and is a predicted model, not a curated record. The transcript has a single exon.
AUCACUUUUUGGCCUUUCGGCUAAGAUCCAGUAUAGUAUCUGUUCUUAUCAGUUUACUAUCUGAUACAUCCUCUAUCUGAAGACAAUAUAUUAAAUGGAUUUUAGGAGCAGGGAGAUGAAAUAGGAGCUUGCUCUGUCCACUCUUCACGUCGACCUGGUACUGCAGGACCUUCAGGAAUGGUGCAGUGCUC